CUUGCUCCCUGAGAUUAGCGGCGGACGGGUGAGUAACACGUGGGUAACCUGCCUGUAAGAUUGGGAUAACUCCGGGAAACCGGAGCUAAUACCGGAUAACAUUUUGAACCGCAUGGUUCAAAAUUGAAAGACGGCUUUUAGCUGUCACUUACAGAUGGACCCGCGGCGCAUUAGCUAGUUGGUGAGGUAACGGCUCACCAAGGCGACGAUGCGUAGCCGACCUGAGAGGGUGAUCGGCCACACUGGGACUGAGACACGGCCCAGACUCCUACGGGAGGCAGCAGUAGGGAAUCUUCCGCAAUGGACAAAAGUCUGACGGAGCAACGCCGCGUGAACGAUGAAGGCCUUCGGGUCGUAAAGUUCUGUUGUUAGGGAAGAACAAGUACCAGAGUAACUGCUGGUACCUUGACGGUACCUAACCAGAAAGCCACGGCUAACUACGUGCCAGCAGCCGCGGUAAUACGUAGGUGGCAAGCGUUGUCCGGAAUUAUUGGGCGUAAAGCGCGCGCAGGCGGUUUCUUAAGUCUGAUGAGAAAGCCCACGGCUCAACCGUGGAGGGUCAUUGGAAACUGGGAAACUUGAGUGCAGAAGAGGAGAGUGGAAUUCCACGUGUAGCGGUGAAAUGCGUAGAGAUGUGGAGGAACACCAGUGGCGAAGGCGACUCUCUGGACUGUAGCUGACGCUGAGGCGCGAAAGCGUGGGGAGCGAACAGGAUUAGAUACCCUGGUAGUCCACGCCGUAAACGAUGAGUGCUAAGUGUUAGAGGGUUUCCGCCCUUUAGUGCUGCAGCAAACGCAUUAAGCACUACCGCAUGGGA
RNAcentral lists this ribosomal RNA (817 nucleotides) under uncultured marine bacterium. Its description in RNAcentral is "bacterial SSU rRNA". It matches the Rfam family "Bacterial small subunit ribosomal RNA", at positions 79 to 878 of the family's 1533-position model. The record is from RNAcentral.